AGCGAACGCUGGCGGCAGGCUUAACACAUGCAAGUCGAGCGGGCAUCUUCGGAUGUCAGCGGCAGACGGGUGAGUAACACGUGGGAACGUACCCUUCGGUUCGGAACAACUCUGGGAAACUGGAGCUAAUACCGGAUACGCCCUUAUGGGGAAAGGUUUACUGCCGAAGGAUCGGCCCGCGUCUGAUUAGCUAGUUGGUGGGGUAACGGCCUACCAAGGCGACGAUCAGUAGCUGGUCUGAGAGGCUGAUCAGCCACACUGGGACUGAGACACGGCCCAGACUCCUACGGGAGGCAGCAGUGGGGAAUAUUGGACAAUGGGGGCAAGCCUGAUCCAGCCAUGCCGCGUGAGUGAUGAAGGCCUUAGGGUUGUAAAGCUCUUUUGUCCGGGACGAUAAUGACGGUACCGGAAGAAUAAGCCCCGGCUAACUUCGUG
RNAcentral lists this ribosomal RNA (435 nucleotides) under uncultured bacterium. RNAcentral describes it as "partial 16S ribosomal RNA". It matches the Rfam family "Bacterial small subunit ribosomal RNA", at positions 29 to 507 of the family's 1533-position model. The record is from RNAcentral.